RNAcentral lists this ribosomal RNA (831 nucleotides) under Brevibacterium sp. LCK-2009.13. RNAcentral describes it as "bacterial SSU rRNA". It matches the Rfam family "Bacterial small subunit ribosomal RNA", at positions 61 to 899 of the family's 1533-position model. Lineage: Bacteria; Bacillati; Actinomycetota; Actinomycetes; Micrococcales; Brevibacteriaceae. The record is from RNAcentral.
GUCGAACGCUGAAGCCUGGUGCUUGCACCGGGUGGAUGAGUGGCGAACGGGUGAGUAACACGUGAGUAACCUGCCCCUGACUUCGGGAUAAGCCCGGGAAACUGGGUCUAAUACCGGAUACGACUGCCGGACGCAUGUCUGGUGGUGGAAAGUUUUUUCGGUUGGGGAUGGGCUCGCGGCCUAUCAGUUUGUUGGUGAGGUAAUGGCUCACCAAGACGACGACGGGUAGCCGGCCUGAGAGGGCGACCGGCCACACUGGGACUGAGACACGGCCCAGACUCCUACGGGAGGCAGCAGUGGGGAAUAUUGCACAAUGGGGGAAACCCUGAUGCAGCGACGCAGCGUGCGGGAUGACGGCCUUCGGGUUGUAAACCGCUUUCAGCAGGGAAGAAGCGCAAGUGACGGUACCUGCAGAAGAAGUACCGGCUAACUACGUGCCAGCAGCCGCGGUAAUACGUAGGGUACGAGCGUUGUCCGGAAUUAUUGGGCGUAAAGAGCUCGUAGGUGGUUGGUCACGUCUGCUGUGGAAACGCAACGCUUAACGUUGCGCGUGCAGUGGGUACGGGCUGACUAGAGUGCAGUAGGGGAGUCUGGAAUUCCUGGUGUAGCGGUGAAAUGCGCAGAUAUCAGGAGGAACACCGGUGGCGAAGGCGGGACUCUGGGCUGUAACUGACACUGAGGAGCGAAAGCAUGGGGAGCGAACAGGAUUAGAUACCCUGGUAGUCCAUGCCGUAAACGUUGNGCACUAGGUGUGGGGGGCAUUCCACGUUCUCCGCGCCGUAGCUAACGCAUUAAGUGCCCCGCCUGGGGAGUACGGUCGCAAGGCUAAAU